RNAcentral lists this ribosomal RNA (959 nucleotides) under Antrodiella romellii. Its description in RNAcentral is "eukaryotic LSU rRNA". It matches the Rfam family "Eukaryotic large subunit ribosomal RNA", at positions 32 to 978 of the family's 3401-position model. The record is from RNAcentral. Lineage: Eukaryota; Fungi; Basidiomycota; Agaricomycetes; Polyporales; Steccherinaceae.
ACUUAAGCAUAUCAAUAAGCGGAGGAAAAGAAACUAACAAGGAUUCCCCUAGUAACUGCGAGUGAAGCGGGAAAAGCUCAAAUUUAAAAUCUGGCAGCUUUGGCUGUCCGAGUUGUAGUCUGGAGAAGUGUUUUCUGUGCUGGACCGUGUACAAGUCUCUUGGAACAGAGCGUCGUAGAGGGUGAGAAUCCCGUCUUUGACACGGACUCCCAGUGCUUUGUGAUGCGCUCUCAAAGAGUCGAGUUGUUUGGGAAUGCAGCUCAAAAUGGGUGGUAAAUUCCAUCUAAAGCUAAAUAUUGGCGAGAGACCGAUAGCGAACAAGUACCGUGAGGGAAAGAUGAAAAGCACUUUGGAAAGAGAGUUAAACAGUACGUGAAAUUGCUGAAAGGGAAACGAUUGAAGUCAGUCGCGUUGGCCAGAACUCAGCCUGGCUUUUGCCUGGUGCAUUUUCUGGUUGACGGGCCAGCAUCAAUUUUGAUCGCUGGAUAAAGGCCUUGGGAAUGUGGCACCUUCGGGUGUGUUAUAGCCCUUGGUUGUAUACAGUGGUUGGGAUUGAGGAUCACAGCAUGCCUUUAUGGCCGGGGUUCGCCCACGUUCAUGCUUAGGAUGCUGGCGUAAUGGCUUUAAACGACCCGUCUUGAAACACGGACCAAGGAGUCUAACAUGCCUGCGAGUGUUUGGGUGGAAAACCCGAGCGCGCAAUGAAAGUGAAAGUUGGGAUCCCUGUCGCGGGGAGCACCGACGCCCGGACCAGACCUUCUGUGACGGAUCCGCGGUAGAGCAUGUAUGUUGGGACCCGAAAGAUGGUGAACUAUGCCUGAAUAGGGUGAAGCCAGAGGAAACUCUGGUGGAGGCUCGUAGCGAUUCUGACGUGCAAAUCGAUCGUCAAAUUUGGGUAUAGGGGCGAAAGACUAAUCGAACCAUCUAGUAGCUGGUUCCUGCCGAAGUUUCCCUCAGGA